UUGAAGUUGGUCGGUGUGACAGGUUCGAGUCCGCUGCUGAGAAUCCGUCAGGUGGUGGAAUCAAACUGCAGACAGACAUUUUAAUAACAGAUAUUUAUACACAGAAUCAGUUUAUUUUUUUAAAGUCGGUGUUAGUUUUACUUACACAGAUAUAAAAAAGAUACGGACUUGGUUUUAAAGGACGGUUUAAAUCUGCGGUAAGAGGCUCCCUCAGAAUUUGCUGGUUAACGCACCAGAGGCGCACGUGGGGCAGAUGCUGCCAGUUUGAAACACUUCUGUCGCGAGCUUCAGCGUCGUAGCUGAAACACAGGAAGAAGUGUGAAAACGGAUGUAAGACAAUGACCCAUGCUGUGAGCGCUACUAGACACGGUUUGUUUUAUUUCCUCGACUUUAAUCUAACAUUUUAGCGACACAUGAGACCCCGGAGCUAGCUUUUUUAUCGCUCAGUUUGGAUUACUUUGUGCGGUCUUCGCUGGAGUCCAGCUCUAUUUACAGUGAGUGGAUAAGGGGUUGAGAAAACAUGGGGACCCAGGGCACAGGACGGAAAAGAUCCACCAAGAAGGAGAGGUCGACGGCAGAGGACGAUGCCCUGAAUCUGAUCGCUAGAGAGGCUGAAGCCAGACUGGCAGCAAAGAGGGCGGCCCGGGCAGAGGCAAGAGAGAUCCGGAUGAAGGAGCUUGAGAGACAACAGAAAGAGAUCUUUCAGGUGCAGAAGAAAUAUUACGGCUUGAACACCAAAUUAGACGACCGAUCGGACAGCAAAUGGGGCGAUAUUGAACAAUGGAUGGAAGAUAGUGAGAGAUACUCACGUUCUUCACGGAUAAACCCGCUCUCUGACGAAGAUGAGCGGAUGUCAGUGGGAAGCCGAGGCAGUGUCAGGUCGGAUCUUGAUGCAGUUGGUGCUUAUGGAGGGGGUUCCUCAAACUCAAGUAAGAAGUCAAAGAAAAAGAAGAAGCACAAACAUAAAGACAAAGAUAGGAACGGCUACGAUGAUGAUUACAGUGUUAUAUCCAGCAGGAGCUCCAGACUCAGUGAUGAGAGCAGAGUGUCUCGCUCCUCCAGACUAGACCUCACGAACUCCAGACUCAGCGAUGACAGCCGGCUGUCUCGUGCCUCCAGAUUAGACCUGCAGCCGGCUUCUUAUGCUUCCUCUGACUUGUACAGCUUCAAUGGUCUGUCCUCCUCCAGAAUCCCAGGCUCCACUUUCAAUGGUUAUCAGAGCUCAUUAUACGAGGACAGUCUUUGCAGUGGGUCACGGCGAGUCACAGGCUCCAGCUCCCAUCCUUUAGAGUACUCUAGUUAUCGCAGCUCCGGGUCCAGAGCUUCCUCCAGGACAAACUCGGCCCGCACAAGCCCAGUGGACAAUUGCAGCUCUGUUGCCAGUUUUUUGAGGAGUGCGGCCAGCAGCAGUGGCCUCCCCAGGGACCUGGACGAUGUUACUAUUCCUGACUUUUCUGACGUGGAGGACAGAGAUUAUCUGGAGAAGGGAUCUCGAGCAGCUUCUGCCUUAACUGCAACCACCCUCACCUCGUUAGGCGGGUCUUCCUCGAGGAGAGGAAGUGGGGAGACGGCCAUAACUGUAGAUGCAGAAACAUCUUUACGAGAAAUCAAGGAGAUUCAUGAACUGAAGGAUCAAAUACAGGAUGUGGAAAGCAAGUACACGCAGAACCUUAAAGAAGCCAAGGACACGUUAGCAGAAGUGGAGGAGAAGUACCGCAAGGCUAUGGUAUCUAAUGCCCAGCUGGAUAAUGAGAAAAACAACCUGAUGUACCAGGUGGACACACUCAAGGACUCACUCAUGGAGCUGGAGGAACUGUUGUCAGAAUCUCGUCGGGAAUAUGAGGAGAAAGUCAAGGAAUGCGAGCGAGAGAAACAUGCCUACUCUGUGCUCCAGUUCCAGUUCAAUGAAAUGAAAGAGACACUAAAACAAAGUGAAGAGUUGCUGAAUGAGAUCCGUCAGCUGCGUAUGAAGCAGGAGGGUUUUGUUAGAGAAAUAUCAGACCUGCAGGAGACCGUGGAAUGGAAGGAUAAAAAAAUCGGGGCCUUAGAGCGACAGAAAGAAUACACAGACGCAAUCCGAAUCGAGCGAGAUGAGCUCAGAGAAGAGGUGGUCAAGCUGAAAGACAUUUUGAAGAAACAUGGAAUAGUUUUGGGACCUGAUCUUAACAUAAAUGGAGACAUUGGUGAGACACCAGCUGACGGCUCCCCCAGUGAAGAUCCUGCUUCCCUCUCAACACAGGAUUCACAGACACCGACAGAGGGGAACAGCAUGCUUGGCAAAACAAAGGAGACUCUGUUGGGAAGUAGAGGAGAGGAAGAUGUGGAUCUGGAGCAAGAUCAAGCAUUGCACAAGGAAGUCAAAGUUAAUACCUUGGGCUGCAACAGUUUAGAGGACAAUGUCAAAAAAAUGAAAACAGUGGGGGAAGAUUUAGGAGAGACAAGCAGCCAAGAUUCGAGGGGGACUUACAGCCCUUUGGAGGGGCAGAAAUACUCCCACAAUGAUGUUGACGACUUGAGCAACUUGAGUACUUGUCCUCAGCAGAAUGUCACACAAGAUGUCCUUAAUAAGAGCUUUUCUGAGUCUGUUCCUGCUCUAGCAAACUCUGAACCUCAACAAGAACCAGAACACACCAAGAAGAUGGAGAAUGAUAAGGAAGAGGAAAAAUCUCAGGCUCAGGGGGCUGCUGCUUCAGGAAAGAAAAAGAAAAAGAAAAGGAAGGGCAAAAAAAAAGCUGGAACGAAUGAGGAAAACCAACAAAAAGAAAAGGGCAACACAGAAAAAGGAAUGCAGUCAGCCACGAUAGAUAAUGGCAUGAUCAAUGCCAGGUUCUGCUGUUGGCCCGUCACUGAAACCCUCAAAGAAUUGAAGGGGAAUCAAGUUAAAAAUAAGCAGGACAAGCAAAAAAAUAAAGAUGGCAGUGGAGUACAAGUGGCAAAACCUGCUGAAACUGUCAAGAAUAAUGAGAAUUUAAAAGAAACACAAAUUGAUGAAGUGGUAAAUGAGCACAGCAAGACUCAAACUUCAGAAACGCAGAGCUCGAAAGAUGUACAAGUAAUGGCACCAUGUGAAACCAUCGAAGCACCGCAUGAAUUUAGAGAUUAUGAUGACAAGAAUGAACAACAAAGUUUAGAGGCUGAAAAAGUAGAAACGGUUAAGGCUACAGCCUCCAUUGACACCCUUCCUCAUGUUGACACUCAAGAGAAAUUUGAAACAGAACCCAACAAUGGUGAUGUGCAAGAUGAACAGAAAUUAGAGGAGGAGAUGUUGGAAGAACCCAUAACAAGCCCUGCUCCACAAAUCAUUGUUUGUGCUAUUGAUACAGAGGAAACAUCCAGUGAUGCUGAGGUCACUGAGGAUGCUGCCAAGGACAGUACUUCCAGUGUAGAAAACAUUGAAAUAGACACUGCUGAAGAAAAGCAUGUUGAAGACUUAACACCGGAAACAGAGAACUUGGAAACAGAGAACUUAGAAGAAGUGAAAGAAAUGCAAACUUGUGAAACCAUAGAAGCUCCAGAAGAAAGUCCAAUCCAUCUUGGUACAGAUGAAAUGAAUGAAGAGCAAAGUUUGGAGUCUGAAAACCCAGCAGAGGCAAUGGCACCCAGUGAAGCCAUUAACAAAGUUGAUGAUCCUGCAGAAUCCGAAAUGAAUCCAAUUAAAGAUGAACAAGACAAAGAACAAACUUUGGACACUUCAGAAGCAGAAGAAGAAGAAUCUGUAGUAAAUCAUGGGUCAGAAAACAGUUAUUCUGAACUUGAAGACUCCAUGAAUGCCGAGAGCACUCAGUGCCCUUCCAAGAGGUGUACUUCAAGUGAAGAAAACAGUGAUGUAGACUUCUCCACUAACAGCAGCGUUAUCCACACUGAGUCCGAAGUUGCUGAUAGUGCAGAGAGUGAAGUCGGGUCUUUCAAUGAUGUACAAUCUGAAAGUAAUGAUAAGGAAGACAUUGACACUGAUCCGCUUGUCUCAAGCCUUGGUGAAGAUAAUCCUGAUGAAUCUGAAACCACAAAUAGUCCUGACAGUGGUUCCCUGGUGUGUUCGACUUCUACUGAUGGCCUUUACGAUGGUCAGCAGAGUUAUUCUGGAUCAGAGCAGCCCUCAGAGUUGCUGUCAGAGCAUGCAGACUCGUGCAGCGACAACACUCCUAUUGACUUCUCUGAAAGAGGCUCAGAGGAGGAAACUGAAACAGUCAUAGACAUUACGGAGCAAGGCUCAGAGACAGAACAAGAAUCUGCUUCACCCAUUCUUGAUAUUGAUCAUUCAGAGAUAACAGGUGGUUCAGAUGCAGAAGAGCUGAAUGGAGACUUGAAAGAACCUGAGGGUUUAGUUGAACCAGACAGCUCUUCGAAUGACAAAAUCAUUGAAGCAUCUGACACUGAAAGCAGUCCUUUAGAAACUGUGGAUCAGACUGAACAACUGGAUGAUGUAGAAAAUCAAACAUCACCGCCUGAGGAUCAGACUGAUGAACCACACGUCGAUCUUUCUUGUGAAAUAGAAGAGAUCAACACAGGUGAAUUGCUAGAUGCAUCAGAUUCUCCAAAAGAAGGUACUGAAGUCAGCGAUGUCAUCAAAUCAGACCAAAAUACAGAAGAAUCAGUCAUCGAAGAAGAUCCAGAACAGGCAUAUUGUCAAAUCGAUGAACAAAUUCAGACACGGCAUGAACCCCUGAAAGGCGAGUCUGAGGAUUAUCAGAGGUCUGAGGUCUUAACCGAAACAACACUGCUGGACAGUGAUGAUGAGGACAGCGUUGAUGAAGAAGGACAAUCUUUUGAUUUUGAUGACUUGGAGUUGGAUGAUGCCAUUGCAUCAGCUCUGCCAGACGAUCCCAAACAGAUAUCAAUCGUGGAAGGAGUUGAAAUCCCUUCAAAGGAAGGCAACAGAAGUCUAGAUCUGACACAAAGCAGUAAUGACUUAAGUGAAUAUACUCAAGACAAGCCAGAGGAAAGAGAUACGGCUGGUGGAGACCACCAGAUAGAAACACAGCAACGAGAGUCUGAUGCUAUAAGCCAAGACACCUUAGACUCUUGGGCUCAUGGGGAUACCUCAUCUGAAAAUCUGGUUGAAGAGCAGGUGAACAUUCUGGAAGAAGUAGGUGUUACGGAGGAGUCCGCUCAUGUUGCAGAGGAAAGAAAGCUUUUGAAUGCUGCAGAGUUGGGCGAGAAGCAUAAUCAGGCAAUAUCUUUGCCCUUAGAGGAAGGGUUAGACGCUGUGAUGGAAGAAGAUUCGGUUUCACUUAAGAGUUGGGAUGUAGUGUCCAGCAACACAGAUUCACUGCCGUCAGGGAGACAUUCAAAGAAGGGCAGCAAGAAAAGCAAAGGCAAGGGCAAAGAGGACUGUAAGAUGUCUUAGCUUAUCAGUGAUAUGUAGUAAAUAUAUGAAUUACUUUUAUCAGCCCUUCAGUAGUCUUUGCUUAGCUGUUUACAGAUGUUUUGCUAAGCCCUUGCAGCAGUUUCUGAAAUUAAAAUUGUUGUAUUUUUGUAAAUAAUUUUAAUUAAAUCAACACAAACCGUCCAAGAUCCAAGGAUCAGCCCUUAGUUUAGUCAUUUCUGGACAAAAAUUGAAAGUAGUAGUAGUGAUUGGAAUGUUACGGCCUGAAACAAUUUAUUAGAGUUUUUGAAAUACUGCACUUGCAAUUGAUGCACAUUUAUCACGCUGCUUGUAAUUUAUGAUGAAUGUUGUAUGAGAAACAUGUAUCAAAUAAAUGUUAACAUCAAUCUAGACUUCAGUGAACAAGCUUGUACAAGUUGUAGAUGUUAUGUUAAGGAUGAAAUAACACAUCUGGACACUUUCUGUCCCCUCUCCUUAAGAACUUUGAUUCAGAGUUGUUUUCUCCAAGAGGUUCAGUGAAAUAAAAUUGCAUUCAUUACAUUACAUUGUGUUUCUAAAGUUAAGUUAAAGGUAUAAUAUGCAACUUUCAAUCCAGGAGAUUGUGUAAUUUAGCACCAGUUUCUCAGAAAAUAACAAGCUCCCUCAGUGCACUGCUUCCCUUCCCUUAACCCUCCAAUAGUGGGCAGUUUGUUAGAUCUGAUUUCCAUUUGAUUCUUUUAUCUUUGAAUGCUUUUGACCAAAAGUCAAUUGUUUUCCUUGAACUGUACUCUUGUGACAAAAUUCCACCAUCAGUAAUGACUCUUCCCUCUACAGAGCGGUGAGGUGUAGAUAUACAAAAUAGGCUGACACAUACAGUAAAAUCCAGUAUAUAAGCCAUGGUCUGUUUUUGAAAUCUCCCAAGGAGGAACAAAGUUUACACUGUCCUCCAUUUCAUUCUGCAAAGUCCUAAAGUUGCAGUUUCUGUGCAGCUGUUUUGAUCUAUUAGUACUGUUUUUGCUGUAUGGCGUCUGUGCAUCCACUAGCUAUAAUAUGGUAACUAGGCUCUCAGCCUGCAGUAAUGAGACAGACUCCCAGGCCUCCUUCACCCGUCACCAGUUCUCAGCUAAACCAGCGCUACACAUGACUUAUUUACCUAACGUUGUAUUUCCUGUUUCUUGAAAUGUAUGACCAAACAAGUGGUGAAAGCAGAUGAAAAAAUAGCACCAACCAAACUGGUGUGGUUUGUGUCGCUAUGCAUUCCAGCACAGUGCAGUGAAGCCAAAGCAUCCACUUGCAAUUCACAAUGCAGAGAGGUGAAUUUUCUAUCACUUUAGGUCUUGUAACUGCAUUACUGUGUUAUGGUGGCAGCCACAUGCACUUGCGGUAAUGGCGUCUGUCUUGGUACUUAAUACUGGCAUAUAGGUAGCCCUAGUGUAUAUUUUAUGGUGUAAUUUUAUGGUAAAUGUCUGUAGAUGAGGUGAGGUUGCUACUCCAAUUGAAAACCAAAAGACAUGCACAUCUCUAAUGGGUGCUGGAUCCAAGACAAACUCACAGAAAGGCAAAAAGGUCCACACAACAGGAAGCUUGCUUUAAAAAAAUGUAUUUACAGCUACCUCAAACUUGAAUGAGGAAGGUCAUUAUGGCUCGAAACAUCACUGCUUUUAAGAAAUGUGUAAACAGGAGAUUCCUGGUGUCUGGGCAUUUUUGCUUCUGUGCUACUCCAAGUGACUCUAGACUUCAAAUUUCAAUAACAGCUGACUGAGAAUGAGCAGCAUAAACCGAUCUCGAGAGUCUGCUGCUGCAUGGCUAUUGACUGGAACUGCAAUGUCUGUGUGAGCAAUGUCUCCAUUUAUCAAAAUAAAAGUCAUACUGCCAAGUCACACAAUGAUGGGGGUGAAACUAUUUACAAACGUUUCCACUCCACUACCUGGUUUGAACCCAAAACACUCUUUGUCUAGUGGACAAGCAGCCAAAAUGCAACGAAAGGUUGCCAUUUUUUACUGAAAUGUUCAUGUAAAUAUGACUUUAAUUAGGAUAUAGUUAUCUGUUUAUAAUGUUGCAUAUCAUACCUUUAACAAGAAUUCUCAACCAAAUGGCCCAGACAUGAAAGCCAGUGCACGAGUCACAAGACCACAUCACUGAGCAGUAGUUAUUUGCCAGUUAACUCUUACUGUGUCCAAACAAACAAAGAAAAGAUUGAUGACUAUUUUCAAUUAGAUUUUAAGAAAAUCUUUGGGUUUGUUGUUUAGAUCUUAUAUUAGGCUUGGACUACAUUCCUUUUUGUACACCUGUACACCAUACAAGAAAACUCAGAACUUCUGGAUGGCUUUUUUGCAAAGUUUGGAUCUACAAGGACUCUGAAUUCCAGCGCAAAGAGAAUGUUUUAUAAAUGUGUUUGCACUCUGUUGCACUAAAUGAAAAAGAUGAAUGUCCACAAAUUUCAAUAAACACCCUGCUGUUACAGACCUGCAAUGUAUUUCCUUCAGUUCCAUUAUGAAAAGAAACAUGUUAGCCCUUUGUACCAUCCAUUCUAGUUAUCACAUUCACACUAAGGUGUUCAUAUAUCUUAUCUUAUUCUGUAGUCAUGUUGUGAAUGUAGUCCUCCCAGCUGUUUGCAUUUGCAUUGAACUUCCUGUCCACAGUUUGUUCAUACUAACACCCCCCUCACACCCUGCUCCAUCACUCCCACGGAUGCUUGUUUCAUUGCAUGCAUCAACCUCCCACCCCAACCCAGACACCCACACACCAUCUCCUUGGCUCCUCUCAUCCCCGAGAUACGCCUGAGGAAACUGGUGGAUGAGCGUGAAAAAAUGAUUGAACAGGU
This is an RNA transcript of Cheilinus undulatus (humphead wrasse), 8129 nucleotides long. It is a transcript of the gene named leucine rich repeat (in FLII) interacting protein 1a, with no coding region annotated. NCBI's taxonomy places the organism in Eukaryota, Metazoa, Chordata, Actinopteri, Labriformes, Labridae. The record is from RefSeq and is a predicted model, not a curated record. The transcript is spliced from 25 exons.